Molecule: ribosomal RNA, 788 nt
Filed under: Gyromitra esculenta
Lineage: Eukaryota; Fungi; Ascomycota; Pezizomycetes; Pezizales; Discinaceae
Description: LSU rRNA
Rfam family: Eukaryotic large subunit ribosomal RNA
Source: RNAcentral
UUUUAAAGCUGACGUCUUUGGCGUCCGCGUUGUAAUUUGGAGAGGCAUCUUCGGUUUGGGCGCCAGCCUAUGUUCCUUGGAACAGGACGUCACAGAGGGUGAGAAUCCCGUGCCUGGCUGGCUGUCCCUUUCCAUGUGAAGUGCCUUCGACGAGUCGAGUUGUUUGGGAAUGCAGCUCAAAAUGGGUGGUAAAUUUCAUCUAAAGCUAAAUAUUGGCGGGAGACCGAUAGCGCACAAGUAGAGUGAUCGAAAGAUGAAAAGCACUUUGAAAAUAGAGUUAAAAAGUACGUGAAAUUGUUGAAAGGGAAGCGCUUGAGACCAGACUCGGCCGGAGAUGAUCAGCCGUCCUUCUGGGCGGUGCACUCGUUUCCGGCCGGGCCAGCAUCGGUUGAGACGGCGGGAUAAAGGCCCGGGGAAUGUGGCUCCUUUCGGGGAGUGUUAUAGCCCCGGGCGCAAUGCCGCCAGCCUCGACCGAGGACCGCGCUUCGUUGCUAGGAUGCUGGCGUAAUGGUCUUCAGCGACCCGUCUUGAAACACGGACCAAGGAGUCUAACAUCUAUGCGAGUGUUUGGGUGCCAAACCCUUGCGCGUAAUGAAAGUGAACGGAGGUGGGAACCCCUCGCGGGGCGCACCAUCGACCGGUCCUGAUGUCUUCGGAUGGAUCUGAGUAGGAGCAUAGCUGUUGGGACCCGAAAGAUGGUGAACUAUGCCUGAAUAGGGUGAAGCCAGAGGAAACUCUGGUGGAGGCUCGCAGCGGUUCUGACGUGCAAAUCGAUCGUCAAAUUUGGG